CGUAGAUAAAACAACAAUAAAAGAGUAUAAUGGCCGACAACAGCAACAGUAGGACAACAAUUACAAAAGCAUAAUGGCCGACGACAGCAACAAUUCAGAAAUUAAAAAAAGUAUGAUGGCCGACAACGUCAACAAUAGGGCAACAAUUACAAUAGUAUAUAGGCCGACAACAGCAACAAUGGGACAACAAUUACAGAAGUAUAAUGGCCGACGACAGCAACAAUACAACUUUCUGAAUCUGGAUAAUGGGUUAAAAAUUCACAAGCGCUUAUUUAUCAUUAAGUUGGCGGAUUCAUAACUAUUUCAUAAAAUUUCAUUUUACAGGAACAUUAUAAAAGCUGUGGACGUUAUGUAUUAUAGGGCACAUCAGUCCUUCACUCCUGGAUGUAGCGGUGCCUUAAGGAAAUAUAAAAUAUGGCUUUUUCCACUGGAAACAGAUGCAUUGUGUUGUUGUUGCUAAAUGAAGGAUAUGUAACAAUCAAUUGGGACAUUAUAAAAGCUCUGGAGGCCAUGUGUUAUGGGGCACAUCAGUCCUUCUUGACUCCUGGAUGUAGUGGGAAGGAUUAAUGGAAACAGAUGCUGUAUGAUGCUGUUGCUAAAGACAGGAUUCAUCAAAAUGAAUUGGGACAUUAAAAAAGCUAUGGAAGCCAUGUGCUGUGAGGCAUAUCAGUUACUCUACACUCCUGGAUAUAGUGGUGUCUCAGAGAAAGGAUUAAUGGAAGCAAAUGCUACAUGUUGCUGUUGCUAAUCGAAGAAUUUAUCACAAUGAAUUGGGACAUUAUAAAAGCUCUGGAGGCCAUGUGUUAUGGGGCGCAUCAGUCCUUCUUGACUCCUGGAUGUAGUGGUGUCUCAAGGAAGGAUUAAUGGAAACAGAUGCUGUAUGAUGCUGUUGCUAAAGACAGGAUUCAUCAAAAUGAAUAGGGACAUUAUAAAUGCUCUGGAUGUCAUGUGCUGUGGGACAUUUCAGUUAUUCUACACUCCUGGAUUUAGUGGUGUCUCAAGGAAGGAUUAAUGGAAGCAAAUGCUACAUGUUGCUGUUGCUAAUAAACGGAUUUAUCAAAAUGAAUUGGGACAUUAUAAAAACUGGCAGAUGUCAUUAAAUUACGAAGGAUUAGAUGUGUCAGUCCUCAUUCGUUCCAGAAAGUAGUUGUACCGAUGCGAUGGUCCCAAAGAUAACAUGAAAUUAUUUUUUGCAUUGGAAACGGAGACACUUUGCUGUUGCUACAGAAAGGAAUCAUGAUAAUGAAGUGGUUGUCCCAAGAAUUAGAUGGAAUUGCAAUUAAUGUGAUGUUUUUGGACUUGAAAAGGGGAAACAACCGCAAAUCAAUUUGGAUGCCACUGAAACAACAAAUUGUCUGCAGUGAUAUCCCUUUUGGAUUUGGUUUGCUCAUCACACUUGUGGACUUUAGAACGCUACUUUCUACAGUUAAUUAAGGUCAACGGUGGAGAAGACAAAGAAGACCCCGUAGUUAAAAUA
Agrilus planipennis (emerald ash borer) is the source of this 1477-nucleotide long non-coding RNA. RefSeq lists it as uncharacterized. Lineage: Eukaryota; Metazoa; Arthropoda; Insecta; Coleoptera; Buprestidae. The transcript is spliced from 8 exons. The record is from RefSeq and is a predicted model, not a curated record.